Molecule: small nucleolar RNA, 178 nt
Organism: Mobula hypostoma (lesser devil ray)
Lineage: Eukaryota; Metazoa; Chordata; Chondrichthyes; Myliobatiformes; Myliobatidae
Product: small nucleolar RNA SNORA73 family
Exons: 1
Source: RefSeq, a predicted model, not a curated record
UCAGCAUGUUUUACUCGUGUGGUGUAUGGGAGCAUAGACCUUGGUCUGUUAUGUACAGUCCCAUUCCACAAUGUUGGAGAACAAGCAUUCCCAGUUUUUAAGCUGGUGAGGACUGCUUGUAUAUACCUAGGCCUUGCCUGUCUGGUGACUGGGGAGAUGAAUGAUGCAUGAGACAGUA